CGUACACUCCUGCGGGAGGCAGCAGUGGGGAAUAUUGCACAAUGGGCGCAAGCCUGAUGCAGCCAUGCCGCGUGUAUGAAGAAGGCCUUCGGGUUGUAAAGUACUUUCAGCGGGGAGGAAGGUGUUGAGGUUAAUAACCUCAGCAAUUGACGUUACCCGCAGAAGAAGCACCGGCUAACUCCGUGCCAGCAGCCGCGGUAAUACGGAGGGUGCAAGCGUUAAUCGGAAUUACUGGGCGUAAAGCGCACGCAGGCGGUCUGUCAAGUCGGAUGUGAAAUCCCCGGGCUCAACCUGGGAACUGCAUUCGAAACUGGCAGGCUAGAGUCUUGUAGAGGGGGGUAGAAUUCCAGGUGUAGCGGUGAAAUGCGUAGAGAUCUGGAGGAAUACCGGUGGCGAAGGCGGCCCCCUGGACAAAGACUGACGCUCAGGUGCGAAAGCGUGGGGAGCAAACAGGAUUAGAAACCCGUGUAGUCCCAUGA
This 479-nucleotide ribosomal RNA is filed under the name uncultured organism. RNAcentral describes it as "partial 16S ribosomal RNA". It matches the Rfam family "Bacterial small subunit ribosomal RNA", at positions 330 to 800 of the family's 1533-position model. The record is from RNAcentral.